UGCAGUCGACGGCAGCGCGGGGCAACCUGGCGGCGAGUGGCGAACGGGUGAGUAAUAUAUCGGAACGUGCCCUGGAGUGGGGGAUAACGCAGCGAAAGUUGCGCUAAUACCGCAUACGAUCUAAGGAUGAAAGCGGGGGAUUCGCAAGAACCUCGUGCUCCUGGAGCGGCCGAUAUCUGAUUAGCUAGUUGGUGGGGUAAAGGCCUACCAAGGCAUCGAUCAGUAGCUGGUCUGAGAGGACGACCAGCCACACUGGAACUGAGACACGGUCCAGACUCCUACGGGAGGCAGCAGUGGGGAAUUUUGGACAAUGGGCGAAAGCCUGAUCCAGCAAUGCCGCGUGAGUGAAGAAGGCCUUCGGGUUGUAAAGCUCUUUUGUCAGGGAAGAAACGGUGAAGGCUAAUAUCCUUUGCUAAUGACGGUACCUGAAGAAUAAGCACCGGCUAACUACGUGCCAGCAGCCGCGGUAAUACGUAGGGUGCAAGCGUUAAUCGGAAUUACUGGGCGUAAAGCGUGCGCAGGCGGUUUUGUAAGUCUGUCGUGAAAUCCCCGGGCUCAACCUGGGAAUUGCGAUGGAGACUGCAAGGCUAGAAUCUGGCAGAGGGGGGUAGAAUUCCACGUGUAGCAGUGAAAUGCGUAGAGAUGUGGAGGAACACCGAUGGCGAAGGCAGCCCCCUGGGUCAAGAUUGACGCUCAUGCACGAAAGCGUGGGGAGCAAACAGGAUUAGAUACCCUGGUAGUCCACGCCCUAAACGAUGUCUACUAGUUGUCGGGUUUUAAUUAACUUGGUAACGCAGCUAACGCGUGAAGUAGACCGCCUGGGGAGUACGGUCGCAAGAUUAAAACUCAAAGGAAUUGACGGGGACCNGCACAAGCGGUGGAUGAUGUGGAUUNAUUCGAUGCANCGCGAAAAANCUUACCUACC
Molecule: ribosomal RNA, 925 nt
Filed under: uncultured bacterium
Lineage: Bacteria
Description: bacterial SSU rRNA
Rfam family: Bacterial small subunit ribosomal RNA
Source: RNAcentral